GACGAACGCUGGCGGCGUGCUUAACACAUGCAAGUCGAACGGAAAGGCCUUUUCGGAGGUACUCGAGUGGCGAACGGGUGAGUAACACGUGGGUGAUCUGCCCUGCACUCUGGGAUAAGCCUGGGAAACUGGGUCUAAUACCGGAUAGGACCGCACUUUAGUGUGUGUGGUGGAAAGUUGUUUCGGUGUAGGGUGAGCCCGCGGCCUAUCAGCUUGUUGGUGGGGUAAUGGCCUACCAAGGCGGCGACGGGUAGCCGGACUGAGAGGUUGGUCGGCCACAUUGGGACUGAGAUGCGGCCCAGACUCCUACGGGAGGCAGCAGUGGGGAAGAUUGCACAAUGGGCGCAAGCCUGAUGCAGCGACGCCGCGUGGGGGAUGACGGCCUUCGGGUUGUAAACUCCUUUCGCCAGGGACGAAGCGUUUUGUGACGGUACCUGGAGAAGAAGCACCGGCUAACUACGUG
RNAcentral lists this ribosomal RNA (463 nucleotides) under uncultured bacterium. Its description in RNAcentral is "partial 16S ribosomal RNA". It matches the Rfam family "Bacterial small subunit ribosomal RNA", at positions 28 to 507 of the family's 1533-position model. The record is from RNAcentral.